UUAGUUGGUGAGGUAACGGGUCACCAAGGCAAAGAUGUGUAGCCGACUGAGAGGGUGAUCGGCCACAUUGGGANUGAGACACGGCCCAGACUCCUUCGGGAGGCAGCAGUAGGGAAUUUCCGCAAUGGACGAAAGUCUGACGGAGCAACGNCGCGUGAGUGAUGAAGGCUUUCGGGUCGUAAAACUCUGUUGUUAGGGAAGAACAAGUGCUAGUUGAAUAAGCUGGCACCUUGACGGUACCUAACCAGAAAGCCACGGCUAACUACGUGCCAGCAGCCGCGGUAAUACGUAGGUGGCAAGCGUUAUCCGGAAUUAUUGGGCGUAAAGCGCGCGCAGGUGGUUUCUUAAGUCUGAUGUGAAAGCCCACGGCUCAACCGUGGAGGGUCAUUGGAAACUGGGAGACUUGAGUGCAGAAGAGGAAAGUGGAAUUCCAUGUGUAGCGGUGAAAUGCGUAGAGAUAUGGAGGAACACCAGUGGCGAAGGCGACUUUUUGGUCUGUAACUGACACUGAGGCGCGAAAGCGUGGGGAGCAAACAGGAUUAGAUACCCUGGUAGUCCACGCCGUAAACGAUGAGUGCUAAGUGUUAGAGGGUUUCCGCCCUUUAGUGCUGAAGUUAACGCAUUAAGCACUCCGCCUGGGGAGUACGGCCGCAAGGCUGAAACUCAAANGAAUUGACGGGGGCCCGCACAAGCGGUGGAGCAUGUGGUUUAAUUCGAA
This 718-nucleotide ribosomal RNA is filed under the name Bacillus cereus. Its description in RNAcentral is "bacterial SSU rRNA". It matches the Rfam family "Bacterial small subunit ribosomal RNA", at positions 245 to 955 of the family's 1533-position model. Lineage: Bacteria; Bacillati; Bacillota; Bacilli; Caryophanales; Bacillaceae. The record is from RNAcentral.